This 1539-nucleotide long non-coding RNA is filed under the name Physcomitrium patens. Its description in RNAcentral is "long non-coding RNA (PPAT_LNC007398)". Lineage: Eukaryota; Viridiplantae; Streptophyta; Bryopsida; Funariales; Funariaceae. The record is from RNAcentral.
AUAAAAAUAUGUUUUAGAAGUCAUUAAUGGAAAUUUUUGAAAAAAAUCAAUUCAAAAUUCCAAAGAUUAAGUUUCCUAUGAAGCCUGCUAUCAGUUUAGGAAAAUCACCAAUGGCCACUGCAGCAAUGGCAGGUGCAGCAGGUGCAGCUGUUGUGAUGUAUUAUACAGGUAGUUAUUAAGUUAGCUUACAUCACCAAAACCAUCUCCAUUUACACAAUAAUAUAAAAGAAUUUAAUCUUCUACCAACUAUAAAUAUUUGACAUUCAAAAUAGUAUUUGGGCGAAUACUGUAAACAAAAACUUGCUCACAGCACAAAUGUUUCAAUUAAAGCAAAAUUCAUAACAAUAAUAUCACUGAUAUUUACAACUGUGUUGUUAUUUAAUGAUAUACAUAUUAAAAAAAUGGAAUUCCUAUUUUUUUUUGUGUUAUAUAUAUAUAUAUAUAUAUAUAUAUAUAGAAUGUAUACAUAUUGUGAAUGUAUUUGAGAAUCUUUUAAAUUCUAAUUGUAUGAUUGGUAUCCUUUAAAUAUUUGACAAUGAGGUCAAGAAAACAAUGAAUAGGUUGGGACAUACCUUGGGGAGUUUUCAAAGCACAAAGCUAUAAUGCAUUGGGUGAAGAAGACACAUCCGAUGAAGGGGAAGGUGAUCUCUUUGUUGGAGGGAUUGCACGCAAAAUUGGCAAACGGCGUGUUGUGGUUCCUAUUAUUGCACGAGCUCCAUCAACAUGGUUCGAGUCUUUAUCCACAAUAUCGGAGACAUUGCGGUUCACAUAUUCUGAAACACUUGGAAAAUGGCCCAUCGGGGACCUUGCAUUUGGAAUCAAUUACCUUUUGAAACAUCAGGUAAAGUUGAUCACCACCCCAUUAAUAGAUAAAAAUAUUUAAACCCUAAAAAACUUCAAACAUAAACAUUACUUUAAUGUAGUAAAAAUUUCAUAAAAUAUUCAAUGUGACAUGCAUGAUAUCUAUGCAUUACAUUUCUGGUAUUACUGAUUAAUAUUAUUUUUUCUACAACAAACAACACAAUAAGGUUUAAAAAUGUUUAUAGAAUAUUUAUAGCAAUAAAAAAUGACAAAAGCAGUUGGUUUGGUUUUUGCAAAUAGAGUCAUGAGCAUGUUGCAAAAGCCUUUGCAAUUGAUGGAUCCAAACAAAUAGAUGGACUCAACAUGUUAAGUGAGUUACGGGAAUAUUUGAGGGUGUUGAUUAUGUGUAUGCAUUUCUCCAAGAAGCCAUUUCCCUUAUUUUUGGAAGCUAUUGGUUUCAAUGUGGACCAAGUUUUGCUUGAGGAAGGAAAAGCUGGAGUAAGGAACUUGCUAUUGUAUGUCAAAUUUCUGAUUCUUGAACUUUAUUUUUUUACUUAAAUAUGUUUUUCAUUUCAACAAAAUUAUAAUAUUUGUUUGGAUCCAUCAAGAAAAAUGAUAAUUUAUGUAUGCCUUAUAUAGAAAAAUAAAAAAAUCAACACAUAUGUAUGUAUGUAUAUAUAUAUAUAUAUAUAUAUAUAGAUUGUAAAACCUUUUCUUAAGACAUAAAUGUCUAUGAUC